AAACCUGGAGUCCAACCCGUGCAUAAAGUCCCCUUCUCACCGUUUUGGUUUUCAAUAGCUUGAUCAUACUAAUCUUCUCAGAAGACUGUUUUUCCUUGAUCUCUGCUUCAACGGAGUCCUUGAGAUCUUGAAUCUCUGCCUCUACUUCAUUUGCUUCAGACUACCAUAUUUAUGAAGACCAACUACUUGAGGAAAAGCCAUACUAUCACCUUGCGGUAUAACCAUCGAGGUGACUCUGGAAGAAAUAGCAUUAAGAGAAACUGCACGAGCGCUGGAACACCUGCAACCCCGAGCAUCCACCGCCAUGUCCCCGGUGCCUACAUGAGGGAAGCCUCAGAGAUGUACAAAGGGGAGGUCAUGGAAGCCAUUCCCACACCAAGGCCAACGAAAACCCUGACCGACAAUGAGAAGGGAAGGGCCAGGUGAAGCAGCCAUGACCACAGCUCCAAUGAAGAAGAGAAAAUCUGCAAUGAGAAUUGCAGUUCGCCUUCCAUAUCGGUCGUUCAUCCAACCUCCAAUUGCAGGCCAAUUGCGGCUCCUAUUAUGGCCCCUGCAAUUGCCAUGCUUACUAUGGUUUCCUGUUUCAUGUCAAUACCAUCAUCACCAAGAGGUCAGCUGCAUUUCUAAAUGAGGAAAAGCUAACAAAUCGGAUUUAAUGCAUUGGAAAACUUACUGAUUUGAAUUUGAGUGUAUAUGGGUGGAUCGAGAUUUAAUGCACAAUAAAACCUUGAUUUGGAUUAGGGUAGGGCUGGGUUGAGUUGAUCGAGAUUUAAUGCAUUGGAAAACCUAUAGAUUUAGCUUUGGGUGGAUCGAGGUUUAAUGCAUUAGAAAAUCCAUUGAUUUGGAUGAGUUGGGUUGUUCGAGAUUUAACUCAUUGGAAACGCUAUUGAUUU
Cucurbita maxima (winter squash) is the source of this 893-nucleotide long non-coding RNA. RefSeq lists it as uncharacterized. NCBI's taxonomy places the organism in Eukaryota, Viridiplantae, Streptophyta, Magnoliopsida, Cucurbitales, Cucurbitaceae. The transcript is spliced from 3 exons. The record is from RefSeq and is a predicted model, not a curated record.